GAUGAAGAACGUAGCGAAAUGCGAUAACUAAUGUGAAUUGCAGAAUUCCGUGAAUCAUUGAGUCUUUGAACGCACAUUGCGCCCCUUGGUAUUCCGAGGGGCAUGCCUGUUCGAGCGUCAUUAUAACCCUCAAGCUCAGCUUGGUGUUGGGGCCUGCUGCACUGGCAGCCCUUAAAAUCAGUGGCGGCGCCAUCUGGCUCUAAGCGUAGUAAUUCUUCUCGCUAUGGAGUCCUGGUGGACGCUUGCCAUCAACCCCCAAUUUUUCUAUGGUUGACCUCGGAUCAGGUAGGGAUACCCGCUGAACUUAAGCAUAUCAAUAAGCGGAGGA
RNAcentral lists this unclassified non-coding RNA (328 nucleotides) under soil metagenome. Its description in RNAcentral is "partial contains 5.8S ribosomal RNA, internal transcribed spacer 2, and large subunit ribosomal RNA". The stretch from base 1 to 120 matches the Rfam family "5.8S ribosomal RNA", at positions 35 to 154 of the family's 154-position model. The record is from RNAcentral.